UGAAUGUGUUGCCCAGGCCCAUGUGAC
Molecule: non-coding RNA, 27 nt
Filed under: Rattus norvegicus (Norway rat)
Lineage: Eukaryota; Metazoa; Chordata; Mammalia; Rodentia; Muridae
Source: RNAcentral